UACGUAGGGGGCGAGCGUUGUCCGGAAUUACUGGGCGUAAAGGGCACGCAGGCUGUGCUGUAAGUCAGCUGUUAAAGGAUGCGGCUUAACCGUGUUAUGCAGUUGAAACUGCAGUGCUGGAGUACCGAAGAGGCAAGUGGAAUUCCCAGUGUAGCGGUGAAAUGCGUAGAUAUUGGGAAGAACACCGGUGGCGAAGGCGACUUGCUGGUCGGUAACUGACGCUGAGGUGCGAAAGCCAGGGGAGCAAACGGG
Molecule: ribosomal RNA, 252 nt
Filed under: uncultured bacterium
Lineage: Bacteria
Description: partial 16S ribosomal RNA
Rfam family: Bacterial small subunit ribosomal RNA
Source: RNAcentral